Molecule: ribosomal RNA, 1464 nt
Filed under: uncultured Bordetella sp.
Lineage: Bacteria; Pseudomonadati; Pseudomonadota; Betaproteobacteria; Burkholderiales; Alcaligenaceae
Description: partial 16S-23S ribosomal RNA intergenic spacer
Rfam family: Bacterial small subunit ribosomal RNA
Source: RNAcentral
GGUUCGAUCAUGGCUCAGGAUUGAACGCUGGCGGAUGCUUUACAUGCAAGUCGAACGGCAGCACGACUUCGGUCUGGUGGCGAGUGCGAACGGGUGAGUAAUGUAUCGAACGUGCCUAUAGUGGGGAUAACUACGCGAAAGCGUAGCUAAUACCGCAUACGCCCUUCGGGAAAGCGGGGACCUUCGGGCCUCGCACUAUUAGGAGUUGCAAUAGAUAUCGAUCAGCUAGUUGGUGGGGUAACGGCUCACCAAGGCGACGAUCCGCAGCUGGUUUGAGAGGACGACCAGCCACACUGGGAUCAGUGACACGGCCCAGACUCCUACGGGAGGCAAGAGCAGUGGGGAAUUUUUGGACAAUGGGGGAAACCUGAUCCAGCCCGGCGUGUGCGAUGAGAAGGCCUCGCUGUAAAGCACUUUUUUGGCAGGAUAAGAAAACGGCACGGAUAAUACCCUGUGCAACCGACGGUACCUGCAGAAUAAGCACCGGCUAACUAGCGGCCAGCAGCCGCGGUAAUACGUAGGGUAAGCGUUAAUCGGAAUUACUGGGGUAUGGAAGCGUGCGCAGGGGCGGUUCGAAAGAAAGAUGAAAUCCCAGAGCUUAACUUUGAACUGCAUUUUUAACUACUGAGCUAGAGGUCAGAGGGAGUGCGGACCAUGUGUAGCAGUGAAAUGCGUAGAUAUGCGGAGGAACACCGAUGGCGAAGGCAGCCUUGGGAAACACUGACGUCAUGCACGAAAGCGUGGGAGCAAACAGGAUUAGAUACCCUGGUAGUCCACGCCCUAAACGAUGUCAACUAGCUGUUGUAAGCCUUCGGGCCUUGGUAGCAGCUAACGCGUGAAGUUGACCGCCUGGGGAGUAGUCGCAAAGAUUAAAACUCAAAGGAAUUGACGGGGACCCGCACAAGCGGUGGAUGAGGGAUUAAUUGAUGCAACGCGAAAACCUUACCUACCCUUGACAUGUCUGGAAUCCCGAAGAGAUUUGGGAGUGCUCGCAGAACCGGAACACAGGUGCUGGCAUGGCCGCUGUCGUCAGCUGUGUCGUGAGAUGUUGGGUUAAGUCCCGCAACGAGCGCAACCCUUGGUCAUUAUUGCUACGAAAGGGCACUCUAAUGAGACUGCCGGUGACAAACCGAGGAAGGUGGGGAUGUCAAGUCCUCAUGGCCCUUAUGGGUAGGGCUUCAAUGCCGUAGUUAACGGUCGUACAGAGGGUCGCCAACCCGCGAGGGGGAGCCAAUCCCCAGAAACCCGAUCGUAGUCCGGAUCGCAGUCUGCAACUCGACUGCGUGAAGUCGGAAUCGCUAGUAAUCGCGGAUCAGCAUGUCGCGGUGAAUACGUUCCCGGGUCUUGUACACACUCCGCCCGUCACACCAUGGGAGUGGGUUUUACCAGAAGUAGUUAGCCUAACCGUAAGGAGGGCGAUUACCACGGUAGGAUUCAUGACUGGGGUGAAGUCGCACAAGGUAG